CAGGAAGUGGAUCAUGUCUCAGUGAGAGGGCGCCCUCUGUCGGAUCACAUGGCACAUAGCUCUAAACUCUCCAGGCUAACCUAUACUACCGUACUAAAUAGUAUGUCUCCUGAGUAGCACGCCGUCACUACUUAGUAGGGUAGUAUACGAGGACGAAGACAACCUUUGACAGCUGUGGAAGGUGCUGUGGAAAAAGUCCCCUCAGGCGAAUAAUUUCCGACAGAAGAGGACGUGUCGCGUGACACCACAAAGCAGGGUUGAAAUACCUUCUUCCUUUUUCUUUUCCUUCCCCCCAAAGGUCAAUUUGAGUCAUUGGGAGCUGGGGUAUUGCUGCUGCUGUUGUUGUGUUUUGAUAAAGCUAUAUUUAUGUUCUAUGUCCUGUCAAGUUGAUAAAGUUGCACUGUAUCAAUAGCUGAAAUGAAAUGAUUGAGAGGACAUUUUUAUUUUCUGUGGCUGGUGUGGUACCCUUAAGGGCAUGUUUUAGACCUUAAAGUGUAGUGUGUUAUAUACGUAGCUGUUUGUGAAUGUAAAAAGUCUGCCAAGUUUCAAAAAUCAAAGCGCACGACAAACCGAGUUAUCGACUCGUAAAAGAAGGAACCGAUUCUGAACAGCUGAAACGAUUCGUUAGUGAUUCCAGACUCACUUCCUGUACUCACCUACUUAGGUUUGUAACAAAAAGCCCCGCCUCUGGCGUUCAUCGGCUGCUCGCUGACAGCGGUAGACCAAUCGCAACAGACUGGGACGUCUGACCAAUCAGAGUAGAGUAUGCCCUCUGAAAGGAGGAGUUUAAAACGAAUCCUUUAGAACGGAUCAUUCAACGAGUCGUUUGUGACACUGGGGGAUAAAAAGGGUAAUGCUGCAGUUUAAAUUCUGAGCAAAUUAAAGUGUCUUUUGACCUCGGUUGCACGUAAAUCUAUUGUACGAGGCCUUUAAAACAAAAUUAGGCACGUUUCCAAACCAUAACAGGAGCGCUUAGGUAUGUACAGUAGCCUGUGUUUUAUCUGGGAGUGGUGCAUGUAGUGUAACUUAAUCGAUUCACCCCAAAAAUAUUGUAUUUAAAGUUGUAACGGUGGUCUGUAAGGUCCAAUUCAGUACCUUUUUAAUAAGAAGAUACAUACUAACGGUGCAAAAGGCUUAAUCUUUACUUCUGAGACUGAGGCAUCAGUUGGUACAUUGAGACUGAUGAAUUAGUUAUUAAAGUACCUGUUUUCAAUACUAGACAGUGUCAAGGCAAAAGUUGAAACUAUUGAACUCGUUUUACCAGAGACCAAAGAAUGGAAUUUGCGCCUGUUUUUGUGGUGCCCGUGUUCAGCAUUGAAUUUAUUUGAGAUGUCACACUCCACAGUAGUGGUUCAUGGCUCAGAUGAUAGUAGACACAGGGCUUUAAGAAUUUGCAGGUCUUUUAAAAAUGUGUUUUUCAUUAUUUUAUUAUUUUUUUAAAACCUAGCCUACUACAUUUAAAUGUUAUUGUUUAUUGUGGCAGUUGUGUACAGUGUUUCAGUAUAAAUAAAAGCUUUAGUUGUGUUGUCCAUUUUAUCAUCUCUAUACCAAUGUUAUUGUGGAGAGGUGUGAAUAGUUUGACCAGCAGGGGGCUCACACCCCUCCCCUUUUCCCAUAGCCCUGCUCACUAGCAGCUAGACCCAGAGUCACGAUACUCUACACACAGAAACCCAACAGCUGACUAAUUUGAUAAAUCCUGACUAAUUUUAUAACCGAGUGGCAACGAUAAAAUUAUUCCUUUGUGUAUACUGAUCGAAAAUGUCCGAUAAGUUGAUUUCCGUUCCGCCGGCGGCCUGGAAUGCCAACGUACUGCUGGAAAAAAGUGGCUAGUGAGUGAAUCUAAGCUGUCACUGUUGGGCCACUGGGUGGCUCCUGCUAGACCUGUAUCAGGCACAUCCCACUGGACAGAGACCCCGGGGAAACCCCCAGGACCCACUGGAGAGAUAUCUGACCGUUAACUUAGGAACAUCUGGGGAUCAUCCAGGAGGCUCUGGAGGAGUGUCUCAACAGGGUGAGAAGGUCAGCCCUGACUUCUCUAUCCUCAGCCUCUUGCUGUUGCAACCCGCACCAGAAAAAUAGAAGAAAAAUGAAUGAAUUAAUCUCUUUGCACAAACAUUCACCUAAAAGUAGCUGGCCGUUCUGCAUCCAAACUGAGCCAAAAAGUCACACUCUGAUUAACAAAUCAAAACAGAGACAUCCGAAAUAAAUAAAUAAAUAAAUAAAUAAAUAAAACACUUCAAAUAGCACAAUAAAAUUUGUUUUCGGUGACAAAAUCGGUUCCGAUUGAUCAGCACAACUGAUCUACUCUGCACUUCUACAUACAUGCAUUAAACGUACACCGAUUUCCAUCAGAUCGGGAAAAUAAACGUCUGAACGAAGAGCAGACAUUUCGGAGCACCAGUGCAAAACCGUUCUCAGCGUCCUGUUUUUAAAAAGUUAUCCGAAAGCUUUGUUUUAAACAGUGAAGAGUAUAAGCCCAAUGGCCUCUUUUAGUCGGCCAUGUUUAGUGACAAAAACAGUAGACUGUCUAGUGAAAAACCUAGACGUCUGGUUGCGUGACUAGAGCUAACUCUCUGGUCUCGGGACCUGCAGUAUAGCGAUCAUUUCAAUGCUUGCAAAAUAUAAGUGCUCGGAUGAAAGGUGCUCAUUUUUUGUGCUUCCUUUAAGAAGAUAAAUUAUUUGCUCUGUGGUUGGUCUUUGUAUCUUUGAGCCUCUGCUUACCAAUGCAAAGCACAGUCCCCUGCGUUUUGCAUGCGUGUCUUACGUAGUUUGCUGAGAUUUCUGUAGGAAACAGACUAACACUGAGUCAGUGUGCAUCUUGGUUGAUUUACUUAAGAUUGUCGAAGAGGAAACUAAAUCACACUCGCCUCGCAGAAUGACCGUCUGAUCCGUUUAAGGAUUCAGUAUUUCUGAUUAUUUUAGAUUAUAGAAGUGGCGCUGAAUGAAGGCUGACUGAAUAAAGCGAGUGAUUCAGUAGUGGAGGAAACUCAAGGCAGGAGCUGCACUUGCAUAUCAGUAACCCAGUGCUGACUCGCACUCCCGUCCCGUCAUCUAUAUCUCUCUCCCUUUGCUUCGGGUUUCAGGGUUAUUCAUAUCCGUCUGCCUCGCCCUCUGUCUGCUUCGCGCUUUCACUCACGGCCUGCCUCUCUCCGCCUCUUAUACGUCCCGUUCCCUCCCCCACUUUGUACGAUCUGCCCUUUUUACCACCACAGUUGCUCUGUUCAUUCCUCCUCCCCUUCUCCUCUUCCUUCCCUUCUCUCUCUUUCACUCAACAGGAGGUGCUUUCACUGAACGGGACACGAGAAAUGUAGCACAGUGGAAGUGCCAAGGAAAUCGGACCCGACGAAGCUUUCGAACGUGACUUCCAGACCGUCCUUUAACCCGGCGCAGGAAUCUCCCGGCAACUUCAGUCGGAGGAGGGCCUGCAUGUCCAAAUUCCUCCUUGUCAGUCUUUGGAGUCUUUGAUCCACUAGGGGGCAGCACCACCAUUUUGCAGCCAUUCAGCACACUGAGCUCUGGUGACCCGUGCCGACUUCCUCUCUCACCGACUCUCUCCUCCGUCUGGUCGCCUUCAGGCCCUGCUGGAGCCACGGGCAUCCUUCACCCUGAACGGGGAGCAGGAAGAGGGAUGUGGCCCUCACACCCAGGACCUCCGCCUCUCUCCUG
Molecule: long non-coding RNA, 3666 nt
Organism: Ictalurus punctatus (channel catfish)
Lineage: Eukaryota; Metazoa; Chordata; Actinopteri; Siluriformes; Ictaluridae
Exons: 3
Source: RefSeq, a predicted model, not a curated record